GAGAGAAAAUUAUAAGAAGGAGAAGAAGAUGCACAAACAGGAAGAAGCAAAACAAGAACUAGAAGGUUGGUGAUAGGCAGAAUCGAGUGGGUAUGGGUGUCAUUGGGCAAUAAGUCCUCUUUGGGCGUUAUUGGGCCAAUGGUAACCUUGUUCAAGGAUCUCAGUACGGAGGAAGUGGUGGUGGGAAAGGUGGCCAGGUGGAAGUGGCAGUAGAGGAUUGG
This 221-nucleotide unclassified non-coding RNA is filed under the name Hevea brasiliensis (rubber tree). Lineage: Eukaryota; Viridiplantae; Streptophyta; Magnoliopsida; Malpighiales; Euphorbiaceae. The record is from RNAcentral.